RNAcentral lists this ribosomal RNA (253 nucleotides) under uncultured bacterium. RNAcentral describes it as "partial 16S ribosomal RNA". It matches the Rfam family "Bacterial small subunit ribosomal RNA", at positions 524 to 776 of the family's 1533-position model. The record is from RNAcentral.
UACGUAGGGUGCAAGCGUUGUCCGGAAUUAUUGGGCGUAAAGAGCUCGUAGGCGGUUUGUCGCGUCUGCUGUGAAAAUCCAGGGCUUAACCCUGGACCUGCAGUGGGUACGGGCAGACUAGAGUGCGGUAGGGGAGAUCGGAAUUCCUGGUGUAGCGGUGAAAUGCGCAGAUAUCAGGAGGAACACCGGUGGCGAAGGCGGAUCUCUGGGCCGUAACUGACGCUGAGGAGCGAAAGCGUGGGGAGCAAACAGG